CUCGCAGUAUCCUUAUAAAUCUGAGACUCUUACAUGCUUAGCUCAAAUCAUUCUCCCAUGCCUUGUUCUUCAUCUCGCUCCUCAUCCGGAUGUGUUGAAGGUGGAGCUCCACGAUGACAAGGAUGAGGGAAGAAGGUAACGAGAGUAGUUUUCAGCCAUCAAGGUAAAAGCUUUGUUCACCUCGCCAUUCUUUUCUUGACCUUCGAACCACGUAAGCUAUGUUUUCGUGCAUGAACUUUAACGUGAUUUUGUAUCAUAGCUGGGAUCGAUUUGAUAUCCAUGGAAAUGAGCCAGUUGAGAUAUAGUGUUUCGUAAAUUAGAAUUAAGAGAUCGAAGAGGUUAGGAGAUGAGAUUGUGAGUGGAGUGAGGAGUACAAUUUAUUUUGUUAUUAUGAAUUAUUAAGGUAAUUGAUUGUUUAUUUUCUUUUAUCAAUGAUUUAUUUUUCCUUUUUUGUGGGAAUUGAGAAGAAAUAAUCCCAGCAAGUCUCAUUGAUGGCAGAGAAUUGAGGAUUUCCGAGAAGGAACUAAUUAUCGAGUGGGUGUCGUGAGACCACAUCGCACCUCCUUCAGGCAUAUUUGGUCAAACCAUAUCUUCGCAUGACUUUGACCAGUUCAACUUAAAUAGUCAAUUUGCAAUUUCUGGGUCUUAUUUUAGUUGGUCAACCAGCUGCCUUCACACAUAGGCAUGGAAUCAACUAUCAAUCAUAGCUUAUUGUUUAUCUCUUAUUCGCAGAUCUACUAAUAAAGUCAAAUUUGUAGUUGAGUCGAGCCUUUAUUAUUGUUUUCCUCCAACCAAUCAUCACCUAAAAGUGACGUAUAAUACAUUUUGUCACCAAUCCCAUCGUUUGGUAAAUAAAAAACAAAAGAAAAUUCAUCCUUAUUCUUAGACCUCAGGAUGAGAAGAGAAAACCUUCAACCGAAGACUCCUCAAUGUAUCUGUGCAUUUGAGGAAGCUGAAAACAUGAGAAUCAAGCACUGGGGUUCUCCUCGGCACUCUGCACGUAAUAGUACGUGGUCAUGGCAUCAGCAUCCUUUUUCUUCUCCCGGUCUCCUUUCUUGGCCUCCUCCUCCUUCUUCUCCGGAUCUGUUGCCGGCCCGACCAUCUCGGCGCACCAGUGUUUCCUCACAGCUUGCCCACCACACUCAUGGGGUCAACGAUCUCGUUCUUCGUGUCCAUGGAUACAAAAUCACGAAGAGGAAGAUUACGAGACACAAAGAGAAAGAGGUCUGAUUGAUCACCUUGAAGGCUGGAAACUGCUCUCAUUGCCACCUUCUUGUCCUUGUUAUCGUGGACGUCCACUUUCACCACAACCUUCUGCAAUCACACCGAGGAAUACAACUGUUAGAGAUCCAAGGAAAAGAACACAAGGAACUGGUAAUUGUUGCUGUAGCAGCAAACUUUCUUCUUUAAUGUAUUAGAAUUGGAACUUACCUUCAUGUCAGCUGACAUCUUCUUCAAGAACGAGAGGCGUGGAUGAAGGAAUGCUACCACAGUAAUGAUACGAGAUUUGAUUUGGAUUGCAACGAAAGUGUCACGUCGGAGUUGACGACGUCCAUCGGAACCGCGUGGCAGAUGACCUUUCAAAGUCCGGUUCCAGAAAACGACGAAGGAUUCGUAGCAGUUUCCGCACGGCUUCCUCGCAACUUCCUAAGACCCUCUAUUAUAUUUACGUAAAUUUCCGUCUCUAGCAACACCUCAUCCCACGCCUCCUUCCUCGUCUCAACACUCGGCGGAGAGGGCUAAAAGAUGGCCGCGGACAUGAAGAGAAUUGUGGUGAGAGUGGGACUCCAGGGUGACAAGGAUAAGAUCAAGGCAAUGAAAGCAGUUUGCAGUAUUGAAAAGGUUGCUUCAGUAUCAGCGGACAUGAAGCAGAAGAAGCUCACCGUAAUUGGGUUCGUUGACCCCAUUGUUGUGGUGAUCAAGUUGAGGAAAUCCUGGUGCACCGAAAUACUCCUCAUCGGCCUGGCAAAUGAACCGGAAAGAGGAAGGACGGAGCAAAGAAGGGAGAGGCGGAGAAGAAAAGAGCUGUUAAUGAACAGAUCGCCGAGCUUACGGCGGCAUAACAAGAAUAUUAGAGGGCUCAUCCUCCUCAUAAGCCAAUCGAAGCUUACAGACAAUUCUUUGGAUACGGUGUAGAAAUCAAAAAGAUAUCCCUCUUGCCUUCGGCUGACUCCCAAGCGCUAACAAGUCUAAAAGGAGUACUCGUCGUUGGAAUAAAUACUAUGCUCAGAUUGUAUGUUAAAUGAGCCGAUUGGGAGUCGAUUAAAUAAGUUUUGUACUACCAUAUUGCGUAAGGGGGCAAGAAAAGAUUCAAAGAACAGCAAAAUAAAUCUGUUUUGUAGCAUACGAGAAAUAGUUGUCUGUAUCACCUGUUCAUUCAAAUCCAAAGCUCCCGAGUGAUACAUCCA
RNA transcript from Musa acuminata subsp. malaccensis (wild Malaysian banana), 2408 nucleotides. It is a transcript of the gene named heavy metal-associated isoprenylated plant protein 39-like, with no coding region annotated. The record is from RefSeq and is a predicted model, not a curated record. NCBI's taxonomy places the organism in Eukaryota, Viridiplantae, Streptophyta, Magnoliopsida, Zingiberales, Musaceae.